AAGACCAGGCUGAUUGGCUAAGCAGUAGGCUGAUAACCCUCACCCUCUUUAACAGGGUAAAAGAAAACAAUUCACAUUUAGAAUCGACAAAGUCUCCUUUCACUAAACAAUCCAUUCCCAGAAUCCAGAACUAGCUGUCCCCAACCUGGAACUGGAAGAUGGAGACAUGCCAUGGAGCCUCCCUAGUGAUCCUCUGUCUUCACCUGACCUGGGUGAGCUGCCUACAGAAGGUUGAGCAGAACCCUCAGUCCCUGAAGAUCCGGGAUGGAGGGAGCGCCACAAUCAACUGCACCUACACAGACACUACUACUGACAGACUGCAGUGGUUCAGGCAGGAUCCUGGGAAAGGCCUCAUCUCCCUGGUUUACCUUACUGCAGAGGAGAAGCAGAAAGGAAGGUUAAGAUCCACAAUCAGCAGGAAGGACCAUCAGAGCUCCCUGCAUAUCACUGGUGCCCAGCCUGAAGACUCAGCCACCUACCUCUGUGCUGUGGAGGCACAGUGA
Non-coding RNA from Phascolarctos cinereus (koala), 503 nucleotides. Lineage: Eukaryota; Metazoa; Chordata; Mammalia; Diprotodontia; Phascolarctidae. The record is from the annotation of a RefSeq genome assembly.